AGCUAGUUGGUGGGGUAAAGGCCUACCAAGGCGACGAUCCGUAGCGGGUCUAAGAGGAUGAUCCGCCACACUGGGACUGAGACACGGCCCAGACCCCUACGGGAGGCAGCAGUGGGGAAUUUUGGACAAUGGGCGCAAGCCUGAUCCAUCCAUGCCGCGUGAGUGAAGAAGGCCUUCGGGUUGUAAAGCUCUUUCGGCGGGGAAGAAAUUGCACGGGUUAAUACCCUGUGUAGAUGACGGUACCCGAAUAAGAAGCACCGGCUAACUACGUGCCAGCAGCCGCGGUAAUACGUAGGGUGCAAGCGUUAAUCGGAAUUACUGGGAGUAAAGCGUGCGCAGGCGGUUUGGUAAGUCAGAUGUGAAAUCCCCGGGCUCAACCUGGGAACUGCAUUUGAGACUGUCAAGCUGGAGUUUGGCAGAGGGGGGUGGAAUUCCACGUGUAGCAGUGAAAUGCGUAGAGAUGUGGAGGAACACCGAUGGCGAAGGCAGCCCCCUGGGCCAAUACUGACGCUCAUGCACGAAAGCGUGGGGAGCAAACAGGAUUAGAUACCCUGGUAGUCCACGCCCUAAACGAUGUCAACUAGGUGUUGGGAGGGUUAAACCUUUUAGUGCCGUAGCUGACGCGUGAAGUUGACCGCCUGGGGAGUACGGCCGCAAGGCUAAAACUCAAAGGAAUUGACGGGGACCCGCACAAGCGGUGGAUGAUGUGGAUUAAUUCGAUGCAACGCGAAAAACCUUACCUACCCUUGACAUGUCAGGAAUCCUGGAGAGAUUCGGGAGUGCUCGCAAGAGAACCUGAACACAGGUGCUGCAUGGCUGUCGUCAGCUCGUGUCGUGAGAUGUUGGGUUAAGUCCCGCAACGAGCGCAACCCUUGUCAUUAAUUGCCAUCAUUGAGUUGGUCACUUUAAUGAGACUGCCGGUGACAAACCGGAGGAAGGUGGGGAUGACGUCAAGUCCUCAUGGCCCUUAUGGGUAGGGCUUCACACGUCAUACAAUGGUCGGUCCAGAGGGUUGCCAACCCGCGAGGGGGAGCCAAUCUCAGAAAGCCGAUCGUAGUCCGGAUCGCAGUCUGCAACUCGACUGCGUGAAGUCGGAAUCGCUAGUAAUCGCGGAUCAGCAUGUCGCGGUGAAUACGUUCCCGGGUCUUGUACACACCGCCCGUCACACCAUGGGAGCGGGUUCUGCCAGAAGUAGUUAGCCUAACCGCAAGGAGGGCGAUUACCACGGCAGGGUUCGUGACUGGGGUGAAGUCGUAACAAGGUAGCCGUAGGGGAACCUGCGGCUG
Molecule: ribosomal RNA, 1286 nt
Filed under: metagenome
Description: bacterial SSU rRNA
Rfam family: Bacterial small subunit ribosomal RNA
Source: RNAcentral